UGAGGAAUUUUGCGCAAUGGGGGAAACCCUGACGCAGCAACGCCGCGUGAGUGAUGAAGGCUUUCGGGUCGUAAAGCUCUGUCGAGUGGGAAGAAACUGGUGACAGUCAACAGCUGUUGUCAUUGACGGUACCACCAAAGGAAGCACCGGCUAACUCCGUGCCAGCAGCCGCGGUAAUACGGAGGGUGCAAGCGUUAUUCGGAUUUACUGGGCGUAAAGGGCGCGCAGGCGGCUUGUCAAGUCAGUUGUGAAAGCCCGGGGCUUAACCCCGGAAGUGCGACUGAAACUGUCAGGCUUGAGUAUGGUAGAGGGAAGUGGAAUUCCUGGUGUAGCGGUGAAAUGCGUAGAUAUCAGGAGGAACACCGGUGGCGAAGGCGGCUUCCUGGACCAAUACUGACGCUGAGGCGCGAAGGUGUGGGGAGCAAACA
Molecule: ribosomal RNA, 428 nt
Filed under: uncultured bacterium
Lineage: Bacteria
Description: bacterial SSU rRNA
Rfam family: Bacterial small subunit ribosomal RNA
Source: RNAcentral